Triplophysa dalaica is the source of this 330-nucleotide long non-coding RNA. RefSeq lists it as uncharacterized. The transcript is spliced from 3 exons. Lineage: Eukaryota; Metazoa; Chordata; Actinopteri; Cypriniformes; Nemacheilidae. The record is from RefSeq and is a predicted model, not a curated record.
AACGAAAACAUGUUGUCUAUCAGGAAGAUUAAUCUUUACGACAGAAGAUGAGAAGGGAUUGCCACUUUGAGACGGAUCUGCCAGGAAUGUGGCAAAAUGGGCAUGCCACUUUUAAAAGAAGUUCUGGAUUUUUUCCAGGGGAAAAACGCAGCAAGAGUAUUACCGAAAGCAUUUCACCUGGAAAUGAGGAUUAGAUUCAACCGGGAAGAAACACCUAAAAUAGGAUAAUAAAAAUCAAGAGAGGGGUAUUUUAUCUACACCAGACAAGAACAAGCACGCUUUAAAAAAAGUUGGUACAUCAUCUGCGUACUCCUGCCAUCUAUCAAAGGU